GUUUUAUUCACCCAUUUGACUUGCUGCUGCUACUAUUCGAGACUGUUUAAACUAAAUACAGGAAUAAACUUGUGAUUAGAGCUAAUAAGUAUCAGAAUGUACAUAGACACGGGAACAGGAGAGGCAGAACUGGAGAACACAAUGGUAAGUUUAUUUAUGAAGACAGCAGGAUCAAGGCAGUGCAGGUGAGUACUGACUUUGAGUACAGAUUGUGUUCUGACCAAACUGAAUGACAACUUGAGUCUUAUCUGUUGCAGGUGGAGAGAGACACACACAGGGAGCAGAUGAGAUGAGGUGCGCAGAGGGGAUCACCAGGAGAAGACAGAGAGAAAAGGAGUUUACACACAAAAUGACUUGGCGUGGAUAUCCAAGAUACAGCGUCAUUCAGGAAAGUCUCAGCAGACAUUGUACAUCUCCAGCUGCUACAGCGAGUAAACAGAAAUGGCGGUCUGCUGCGGCUCUCUCAGUUUCAGUUUGGAUCCAGCCUCUUAAGAAGACCUCAGAUGACUAAAACUUUGGAAGAGACGGCGCCAACUCCUGCGAUGACUUCAGAAGAUGCAACAUCUGGAUCAACACGCACAUUCACAUUCUAUAAAUCCUAAUUAUUGUUAAUAUGUAAUUCAUUUUUCCAGGAGCUCUUUGCUUCUACCUCCAAUUACAUUGCUAACAGUGAUUGUAUGUUAAUCGCCUAAAUUAUUACAUUAUUAGCUAACUGCAGUCUCCAAAUUGUAAUGUUGACAUGCAUUCUCUGUAAAGCUGCUUUGAAACGAUAUGUAUCGUGAAAAGCGCUAUACAAAUAAAUGUGAAUUGAAUUGAAUUGAAUUGU
Ctenopharyngodon idella (grass carp) is the source of this 826-nucleotide long non-coding RNA. RefSeq lists it as uncharacterized. NCBI's taxonomy places the organism in Eukaryota, Metazoa, Chordata, Actinopteri, Cypriniformes, Xenocyprididae. The record is from RefSeq and is a predicted model, not a curated record. The transcript has 3 exons.